Molecule: ribosomal RNA, 468 nt
Filed under: uncultured bacterium
Lineage: Bacteria
Description: partial 16S ribosomal RNA
Rfam family: Bacterial small subunit ribosomal RNA
Source: RNAcentral
GACGAACGCUGGCGGCGUGCUUAACACAUGCAAGUCGAACGGAAAGACCCUGCUUUUGCUGCUCGCUCGUGUGGCGCACGCGUGAGUAUCACGCGUGUAUCCCGUACUUGUCUUUGGGAUAUCUUUUGGAAACUCGGGCUCUUACCGGAUAGAAUAUCCUGCUCCGUGGGGUGGGUUGGUAAGAUUCGGCGGUUGGGGAUGGUCUCGAGGCUUAUCCGCUUGUUAGGCGGGUAGUUGCUUUCCAAGCUUAUGACGGGUAGCCGGCCUGGGAGGGGGACCGGGCACAUUGGGACUGAGAGACGGCGCAGACGCCAACGGGAGGCAACAGUGGAGAAUAUUGCAGAAUGAGCGGAAGCCAGUGGCAGCAACGCCGCGUGCGGGAUGACGGCCUACGGGUUGAAAACCGCUGUCGCCGGAGACGAGGCGUGAGUGACGGUAAUGAGUAAAGAAGCACCGGCUAACUACGUG